UACAUGCAAGUCGAGCGCAGGAAGCAAGCUGAUCCCCUUCGGGGGUGACGCUUGUGGAAUGAGCGGCGGACGGGUGAGUAACACGUGGGCAACCUGCCUGUAAGACUGGGAUAACCCCGGGAAACCGGGGCUAAUACCGGAUAAUACUUUCUUUUGCAUAAAGGAAAGUUGAAAGGCGGCUUCGGCUGUCACUUACAGAUGGGCCCGCGGCGCAUUAGCUAGUUGGUGAGGUAACGGCUCACCAAGGCGACGAUGCGUAGCCGACCUGAGAGGGUGAUCG
RNAcentral lists this ribosomal RNA (280 nucleotides) under Oceanobacillus picturae. RNAcentral's name for it is "partial 16S ribosomal RNA". It matches the Rfam family "Bacterial small subunit ribosomal RNA", at positions 52 to 306 of the family's 1533-position model. Lineage: Bacteria; Bacillati; Bacillota; Bacilli; Caryophanales; Bacillaceae. The record is from RNAcentral.